GGAAGCAGGGGAUCGUAAGACCUUGUGCUUUUGGAGUGGCCGAUGCCUGAUUAGCUAGUUGGUAGGGUAAUGGCCUACCAAGGCGACGAUCAGUAGUUGGUCUGAGAGGACGACCAGCCACACUGGGACUGAGACACGGCCCAGACUCCUACGGGAGGCAGCAGUGGGGAAUUUUGGACAAUGGGCGCAAGCCUGAUCCAGCAAUGCCGCGUGAGUGAAGAAGGCCUUCGGGUUGUAAAGCUCUUUCAGUCGAGAAGAAAAGGUUGUGACUAAUAAUUGCAACUCAUGACGGUAUCGACAGAAGAAGCACCGGCUAACUACGUGCCAGCAGCCGCGGUAAUACGUAGGGUGCGAGCGUUAAUCGGAAUUACUGGGCGUAAAGGGUGCGCAGGCGGCUUUGUAAGUCAGAUGUGAAAUCCCCGGGCUUAACCUGGGAAUUGCGUUUGAAACUACAAAGCUAGA
This 462-nucleotide ribosomal RNA is filed under the name uncultured beta proteobacterium. RNAcentral's name for it is "bacterial SSU rRNA". It matches the Rfam family "Bacterial small subunit ribosomal RNA", at positions 187 to 645 of the family's 1533-position model. Lineage: Bacteria; Pseudomonadati; Pseudomonadota; Betaproteobacteria. The record is from RNAcentral.